AUUGAACGCUGGCGGCAGGCCUAACACAUGCGAGUCGAGCGGAUGAAGGGAGCUUGCUCCUGGAUUCAGCGGCGGACGGGUGAGUAAUGCCUAGGAAUCUGCCUGGUAGUGGGGGAUAACGUCCGGAAACGGGCGCUAAUACCGCAUACGUCCUGAGGGAGAAAGUGGGGGAUCUUCGGACCUCACGCUAUCAGAUGAGCCUAGGUCGGAUUAGCUAGUUGGUGGGGUAAAGGCCUACCAAGGCGACGAUCCGUAACUGGUCUGAGAGGAUGAUCAGUCACACUGGAACUGAGACACGGUCCAGACUCCUACGGGAGGCAGCAGUGGGGAAUAUUGGACAAUGGGCGAAAGCCUGAUCCAGCCAUGCCGCGUGUGUGAAGAAGGUCUUCGGAUUGUAAAGCACCUUAAGUUGGGAGGAAGGGCAGUAAGUUAAUACCUUGCUGUUUUGACGUUACCAACAGAAUAAGCACCGGCUAACUUCGUG
RNAcentral lists this ribosomal RNA (484 nucleotides) under uncultured bacterium. RNAcentral's name for it is "partial 16S ribosomal RNA". It matches the Rfam family "Bacterial small subunit ribosomal RNA", at positions 30 to 507 of the family's 1533-position model. The record is from RNAcentral.